Molecule: ribosomal RNA, 435 nt
Filed under: Triticum aestivum (bread wheat)
Lineage: Eukaryota; Viridiplantae; Streptophyta; Magnoliopsida; Poales; Poaceae
Description: partial small subunit ribosomal RNA
Source: RNAcentral
CCAAAAGCUCCCCCACCGGGUGUAGCGAAUAUACAUGUUGAUGCCGCAUGUCGCAGGGGCACAAGUGAUGUUGCAGCGGCAGUUUGCAGAGAUGCUAAUGGUGUAUUCUUGGGAAGCUCAGCCCUUGGUAUAGCUGGUGUGGAUGACCCGGCAAAUCUAGAGACGAUAGCGUGCAGGGAAGCACUAGCUCUAGCCCAAGAUCUCAAUCUCCGGGAGGUGCUAGUGGCCUCGGAUGCUAAGGCAGUCGUGAAUGCUAUCAACAAUUCGGGUCAGGGGUCGAAUGGAGCAAUUAUAGCAGAAAUAAACAGCUUAUCUUCUUUACUUAGCUUUACUUUUACUUUUGAAUCUUGUGCUGUUAAUGUAGAGGCACAUAGUUUAGCAGCAUGCUUUUUCACUGGGACCGGGGCGCCACCUGUGGCUAGGCCAAUCCCAUGA